GUCCAGAUAGCUUAAUUGGUAGAGCAACCCAGGCUGGUAUCAGUAGAUGGCUCGUGGUGGCUUCGGUUUCGAAUCCCGAUCUGACCU
Molecule: transfer RNA, 87 nt
Filed under: Dreissena polymorpha
Lineage: Eukaryota; Metazoa; Mollusca; Bivalvia; Myida; Dreissenidae
Description: tRNA-Thr
Source: RNAcentral